RNAcentral lists this long non-coding RNA (1670 nucleotides) under Sus scrofa (pig). RNAcentral's name for it is "lncRNA (ENSSSCG00045016077.1)". The record is from RNAcentral. Lineage: Eukaryota; Metazoa; Chordata; Mammalia; Artiodactyla; Suidae.
CAUGGGAAGGGAAGAACAAGUUGGCGCUAGUGAAUGAACUGGAGUGGUGUUAUCCUUCUGCCCUGGCUCUGAACUCUGUGUCAGGAGCCAAGAGACCAAUAGUGGACCUGCCUGAAGGGGUUUAGCGCCUUCCAUGAUGACAAGCUCUUUGGCGGCAUCUACACAGCAUAAGCGUGGAGACCUGGUGUGCAGCCGCCGGACCCGAAGGCAGGCUCCUUCCUGGAUGAGCAGGCGAGGAUGGCAGCGUUGUCUCUGGAUCCAGAAGGCCAGUGGUGGAAGCCGAAGGCCAGGCCAGGCUGCGUGGGGCCGAGACCCCUCCUCUGGCGGUGGUGGCAGGAGAGAUCCCAAGGAGUGGAGCCAUUCCCUGGGGAAGCCCCUGAAAGUGCAACAGUGGGUGUGACAGAGGAGCAGCAAUGGGCUGGAGACCUUCAGGGGCCAGGGACCUCCGUCGUCAAUGUUUGGGUCCCGGCCGGGAUGGACUUGGGUGAUGGAGAAGCCUGGUCCAGUGACUCUUCAGUGGGAAGACCGGGGCGCAGGGAAGAAGGUGUCACGAGACCGGCCUGGUGGAUGCAGGUUAUCUGAUGGAUGGCUCAAGGGGGCCCGGACUCUGUCCUGGCAGGGAUCUGUGUCCUUGUGAAGAAACGGUGGUCCCGUUUAGGGGACUGAGUGCAGCCCAGCCCCAGCCUGACCUUCAACCCCCAAGCCCUGAGGUUCUGCCUCCUUGGGCUCGUAGCAGAAUCACCUGGACCCCGGGGAAGGAGCAGAACCGGCUGACGCUUGAGUCCGCUGAGUGCAGAAAGGGCGAGUCAGUGGCGGUCCUCCUCGCUUUCCCUGUCUCUCUGUCACUGUCCCUGACUCUCUGUCUCGGUGGCUCUGCCUCGGUCUGUCCCUCUUGUCUCUCGCCUGGCUCUCUCUGUCGCCGUACGGGUCUCUUUCCUUUCUGGCAGCUUCGCGUCUGUGUGGUGGGGUGCACACCAGACCCCGGCGAGCCGAUUGGGCCCGUUUCCCUGGUGAGACCCCUAGACGAUUCCUGGGGCCGAGACCCCUCCUCUGGCGGUGGUGGCAGGAGAGAUCCCAAGAGUGUGUACCCCUCAGAGCAAUUGCACUGGAGAUGCUUUAGCAUCUUCCGUACGGACCCGAGCUCUGGGAUUGCCUCUGAACAUACGUGUUAGGACAUGGGAGAGUCACAGGACAUGCUCCCGCUCUUUCGGCUUCUGCUGAGCUCAAGAUUGUCAGGCCGCCUCCGCGCCAGCAAAGAAGCGAAGGAGGGUGCACCGGACCUGAAUGCAGCUUUCUUCCUUGAUGAGCAGGACAGGAGCUCAAAGGGAUGUUGGCCUCCGCUGGGAUGAAGGCUCUCCUCUUGGAGUUGUUCUAGGAGAGACCAAGGGCCACACCCGCGGCAUUUGGAAGUUUCUAGGCUAGGGGUCGAAUCGGAGCCAUAGCCGCCGGCCUACACCACAGCCACAGCAACACAGGAUCCAAGCCACAUCUGCAGCCUACGCCACAGCUCAAGCCACGCUGGAUCCCUAACCCACGGCGCAAGGCCAGGAAUUGAGCUCCCUUCUUCGUGGAUACCAGUCGGGUUUGUUACCGCUGAGCCACAAUGGGAACUCCCCAGCAUAACUGUUUUAAAAAGAUAUAUUACUGUGAGAAUAAACUUACCUAAUAAG